CAAAGAGUCAAACGCCAAACAAAGCGUCCAGACAGAAGCAACGACGAUGUUCCUCAUUCUGAGCCCUCGCUCAGUUUUGAGACGCAGCAGGAGACGAUGCAACCGGCGACGCCGAUCGUCUCCAUGGCGACGGAGUGGUACGUGAAGCAGUCGCAGUGGCUCAUCGACGCGGAGGAGAAAUACGAGCGAUUCUGCCGCCAUUUCUGCAGAGCCAAGCCGAGGAUGAUGACGAUGAGAGGAAGGAGAAGCAAAACGUUGGCGAUGGUGAAGGUGGUGAAGAUGAUGGAGGUCCAACCGAAGACGAAGCAGGCGGCCUCCAACGACGAAGAGUCAACGCUGGAGGAAAUGUUUGGGUUUGUCAUGAUGUCUAGAAGAGGGGAAAAAAAACAUGAAAAACUGGAUUUUAUGGUUUAAAAUGACCCAAAAGCGACAAAAUCUGUUAAACUUCAUACACACCAAAUCUGGUUUGUUCAAAUUAUCUUCAAUAAAUCAAUUUCCAAGCAUUA
This is a long non-coding RNA of Poecilia latipinna (sailfin molly), 506 nucleotides long. RefSeq lists it as uncharacterized. The record is from RefSeq and is a predicted model, not a curated record. Lineage: Eukaryota; Metazoa; Chordata; Actinopteri; Cyprinodontiformes; Poeciliidae. The transcript has 2 exons.